RNAcentral lists this ribosomal RNA (497 nucleotides) under uncultured bacterium. RNAcentral's name for it is "partial 16S ribosomal RNA". It matches the Rfam family "Bacterial small subunit ribosomal RNA", at positions 28 to 507 of the family's 1533-position model. The record is from RNAcentral.
GACGAACGCUGGCGGCGUGCUUAACACAUGCAAGUCGAACGGUAAAGCGCUAUCCUUUUUGGUGGGUGUGGAUGAGUGGCCAACGGGUGAGUAACACGUGAGUAACCUGCCCCCUUCUUCUGGAUAACCGCAUGAAAGUUUGGCUAAUACGGGAUAUGCUGUGUCUGUCGCAUCAUGGGUCUUGGAGAGAUAUUGUUUCGGUAGGGGAUGGUCUCGCGUCGUAUUAGCUUGUUGGUGGGGUGAUGGCAUACCAAGGCGGCGGUGCGUAGCCGGCCUGAGCGGAGGAUCGGCCACACUGGAAGUGAGACACGGUCCAGAAGCCUACGGGAGGCAGCAGUAGGGAAUAUUAGUCAAUGGGCGCAAGCAUGAUCCUGCCAUGCCGCGUGGGGGGGGAAGGACGUCGGGUGGUAGAGACCCUUUUUUGGGAGAGAAGCACGGCAGCCUAGUUUGUCGGUGGGUUGACGGUAGCUAGAGAAUAAGCACCGGCUAACUACGUG